This 465-nucleotide ribosomal RNA is filed under the name uncultured bacterium. Its description in RNAcentral is "partial 16S ribosomal RNA". It matches the Rfam family "Bacterial small subunit ribosomal RNA", at positions 28 to 507 of the family's 1533-position model. The record is from RNAcentral.
GAUGAACGCUGGCGGCGUGCUUAACACAUGCAAGUCGAACGGAAACGCCCAAGCUUGCUUGGGUACUCGAGUGGCGAACGGGUGAGUAACACGUGGGUGAUCUGCCCUGCACUUCGGGAUAAGCCUGGGAAACUGGGUCUAAUACCGGAUAGGACCACACUUUGGAUGGCGCGGUGGAAAGUUUUUCGGUGUGGGAUGAGCUCGCGGCCUAUCAGCUUGUUGGUGGGGUAAUGGCCUACCAAGGCGUCGACGGGAAGCUGGCCUGAGAGGGUGUACGGCCACAUUGGGACUGGGAUGCGGCCCAGACUCCUACGGGAGGCAGCAGUGGGGAAUAGUGCACAAUGGGCGCAAGCCUGAUGCAGCGACGCCGCGUGGGGGAUGACGGCCUUCGGGUUGUAAACUCCUUUCGCUAGGGACGAAGCGCAAGUGACGGUACCUGGAGAAGAAGCACCGGCUAACUACGUG